RNAcentral lists this ribosomal RNA (660 nucleotides) under uncultured bacterium. RNAcentral's name for it is "bacterial SSU rRNA". It matches the Rfam family "Bacterial small subunit ribosomal RNA", at positions 94 to 788 of the family's 1533-position model. The record is from RNAcentral.
AGUGGCGGACGGGUGAGUAACGCGUGAGAAUCUGCCUUGGGGUCGGGGACAACCACUGGAAACGGUGGCUAAUACCGGAUAAGCCGAUUGGUGAAAGAUUUAUUGCCCGAAGAGGAGCUCGCGUCUGAUUAGCUAGUUGGUGAGGUAAGAGCUCACCAAGGCAGCGAUCAGUAGCUGGUCUGAGAGGACGAUCAGCCACACUGGGACUGAGACACGGCCCAGACUCCUACGGGAGGCAGCAGUGGGGAAUUUUCCGCAAUGGGCGAAAGCCUGACGGAGCAAGACCGCGUGAGGGAGGAAGGCUCUUGGGUUGUAAACCUCUUUUCUCAGCGAAGAAGCUCUGACGGUACCUGAGGAAUCAGCCUCGGCUAACUCCGUGCCAGCAGCCGCGGUAAUACGGAGGAGGCAAGCGUUAUCCGGAAUUAUUGGGCGUAAAGCGUCCGCAGGUGGCGAUUCAAGUCUGCUGUCAAAGCACGGGGCUUAACUCCGUAAAGGCAGUGGAAACUGAAUAGCUAGAGUGCCGUAGGGGUAGAGGGAAUUCCCGGUGUAGCGGUGAAAUGCGUAGAGAUCGGGAAGAACAUCGGUGGCGAAAGCGCUCUACUGGACGGCAACUGACACUCAGGGACGAAAGCUAGGGGAGCGAAUGGGAUUAGAUACCCC